Molecule: ribosomal RNA, 1145 nt
Filed under: Lactiplantibacillus plantarum
Lineage: Bacteria; Bacillati; Bacillota; Bacilli; Lactobacillales; Lactobacillaceae
Description: bacterial SSU rRNA
Rfam family: Bacterial small subunit ribosomal RNA
Source: RNAcentral
GCGGGCGGGUGCUUAUACAUGCAGUCGAACGAACUCUGGUAUUGAUUGGUGCUUGCAUCAUGAUUUACAUUUGAGUGAGUGGCGAACUGGUGAGUAACACGUGGGAAACCUGCCCAGAAGCGGGGGAUAACACCUGGAAACAGAUGCUAAUACCGCAUAACAACUUGGACCGCAUGGUCCGAGUUUGAAAGAUGGCUUCGGCUAUCACUUUUGGAUGGUCCCGCGGCGUAUUAGCUAGAUGGUGGGGUAACGGCUCACCAUGGCAAUGAUACGUAGCCGACCUGAGAGGGUAAUCGGCCACAUUGGGACUGAGACACGGCCCAAACUCCUACGGGAGGCAGCAGUAGGGAAUCUUCCACAAUGGACGAAAGUCUGAUGGAGCAACGCCGCGUGAGUGAAGAAGGGUUUCGGCUCGUAAAACUCUGUUGUUAAAGAAGAACAUAUCUGAGAGUAACUGUUCAGGUAUUGACGGUAUUUAACCAGAAAGCCACGGCUAACUACGUGCCAGCAGCCGCGGUAAUACGUAGGUGGCAAGCGUUGUCCGGAUUUAUUGGGCGUAAAGCGAGCGCAGGCGGUUUUUUAAGUCUGAUGUGAAAGCCUUCGGCUCAACCGAAGAAGUGCAUCGGAAACUGGGAAACUUGAGUGCAGAAGAGGACAGUGGAACUCCAUGUGUAGCGGUGAAAUGCGUAGAUAUAUGGAAGAACACCAGUGGCGAAGGCGGCUGUCUGGUCUGUAACUGACGCUGAGGCUCGAAAGUAUGGGUAGCAAACAGGAUUAGAUACCCUGGUAGUCCAUACCGUAAACGAUGAAUGCUAAGUGUUGGAGGGUUUCCGCCCUUCAGUGCUGCAGCUAACGCAUUAAGCAUUCCGCCUGGGGAGUACGGCCGCAAGGCUGAAACUCAAAGGAAUUGACGGGGGCCCGCACAAGCGGUGGAGCAUGUGGUUUAAUUCGAAGCUACGCGAAGAACCUUACCAGGUCUUGACAUACUAUGCAAAUCUAAGAGAUUAGACGUUCCCUUCGGGGACAUGGAUACAGGUGGUGCAUGGUUGUCGUCAGCUCGUGUCGUGAGAUGUUGGGUUAAGUCCCGCAACGAGCGCAACCCUUAUUAUCAGUUGCCAGCAUUAAGUUGGGCACUCUGGUGAAAC